Molecule: ribosomal RNA, 448 nt
Filed under: uncultured bacterium
Lineage: Bacteria
Description: partial 16S ribosomal RNA
Rfam family: Bacterial small subunit ribosomal RNA
Source: RNAcentral
UGCCAGACUCCUACGGGAGGCAGCAGUGGGGAAUAUUGGGCAAUGGGCGCAAGCCUGACCCAGCAAUGCCGCGUGAAUGAAGAAGGUCUUAGGAUUGUAAAAUUCUGUCCUAUGGGAAGAAACAAAUGACGGUACCCAAAGAGGAAGCUCCGGCUAACUACGUGCCAGCAGCCGCGGUAAUACGUAGGGAGCGAGCGUUGUCCGGAAUUACUGGGUGUAAAGGGAGCGUAGGCGGGCGAGAAAGUUGAAUGUUAAAUCUACCGGCUUAACUGGUAGCUGCGUUCAAAACUUCUUGUCUUGAGUGAAGUAGAGGCAGGCGGAAUUCCUAGUGUAGCGGUGAAAUGCGUAGAUAUUAGGAGGAACACCAGUGGCGAAGGCGGCCUGCUGGGCUUUAACUGACGUUGAGGCUCGAAAGCGUGGGGAGCAAACAGGAUUAGAUACCCUAGUA